RNAcentral lists this ribosomal RNA (254 nucleotides) under uncultured bacterium. RNAcentral describes it as "partial 16S ribosomal RNA". It matches the Rfam family "Bacterial small subunit ribosomal RNA", at positions 524 to 776 of the family's 1533-position model. The record is from RNAcentral.
UACGGAGGGGGCUAGCGUUGUUCGGAAUGACUGGGCGUAAAGCGCGCUUAGGCGGGUUCUCCAAGUCGGGUGUGAAAUCCCCGGGCUCAACCUGGGAACUGCAUCCGAGACUGCAUUGCUAGAGUAUGGGAGAGGGAAGCGGAAUUUCUGGUGUAGCAGUGAAAUGCGUAGAUAUCAGAAGGAACAUCAGUGGCGAGGGCGGCUUCCUGGACCAAUACUGACGAUCAGGUGCGAAAGCGUGGGGAGCAAACAGG